GCGGGGGGCAGGGCUGGUCUGUAAGUAGUGACGUGGGGGUGCCCAGCCCCUCUGGGAUGAGCAGCUGCCGGGUCACGAGGCCCACAGCGAUGGCCACGCUGGACACAGACUUCCCUGAGGUCCAGGACAGAGGGGGCGGACAGUUUCCUGCAGGCAGAGAAGGUUCCACGAGCCGCACACUCGUGGCCUGUCUCUGCCUCCUCGCCAAGGGUUCCCCCAGGAUGUGACAGGUAAGUGUGAGAAGAGAGAGGACUGGGGGACAAGGGUCUUCUUCCCCUCUCCACUAGAAGUGCACAGUCCACCCCGUCCCUCCGCGUCAGUUACGGAAGCUGCCCUGACUCGGCCCUGCGGCAGGAGCCCCACGGCCUGGCUGGUCUCAUUCUGGAACGUGGCGGUAGGGGCUCCGUACCCUCCACGGUCGGGACCACACUCUCCAAGGUCAGCCUGACAGGUAACGAAGGUGAGAGUCUGGCCUUCACACACCUUAUCUGGUUUGUCGUUUUCUCUCAUUUCUCAAUUCAGGAAAGAAAGGGGUGGUAUUUACUAAGUGGCCUCAAAUCCUAACGCUUUUCAAUUUAAAAUCUAGAAAUGGCGGAAAAGGAAGUAGAUGCUCUUCAGCACCAGAAAUGGAAGGGUCUGGUCUGUGAACCGGGAAGAGGAGGAGGGGAGCCCACAGUAGUAAAUGGGGGUAAAACCCCUGUCCACGUCCCACAGGGCGCCAGGCCAGGUCCGCUGCCCGCUCAGGACGGGCCCCAGCCACACAGCCCAGGCCCUCUUUCUGAAGCUGGAAGAACCACGUGUGCCCUGGGCCGUGGCUACCACUGGGGGACAGAGGGCGGGAUGGAUCGUACUGGGCCCGUGUCCGUGGUCCUGCGCCAUCCGCCCUGGUGAAGGCGCCGAGCUGAGCAGCUGCGGAGCUGUGGCGCUUGGGAGGGACAGGUGACUUGGAGAUGCCCCAGGGUGACGCGGGGGAAAAGACCCGACUGAAGACGGCUUCGCACAGGGCACGACAGAAACCCCCACCCCAAUCAACAGUAACCAGACUCAACAGAGGGAGCAUUCGUAACCAAGUAUUUCAGGCUUGGGAUGAGGGGAGGCACACUCUUUCUGUAAAGAACCAGAGUGCAGGGCACACGGUCUCUGGACAGGACCUACAGAAAACACGUCUAAGAAUGGGUACGACCGUGUUCCGGGAAACUUCGUUCACCGGAACAGGUGACGGGCCAUCGUCUGCUGACUCCUGAUUAGUCAGGCUCCAUUUCCCAACCUCCUGCUUAGGUGGGUGCUGUGACAUGUGGCCGCGCGACUGGCUGUGGGCACUUAGACAUUCACGUCCCUGCAGGGAGGGCACGCGCCCUCCUCUUCCCAUUCUCCCACUUCCUGUUCUUCCCGCCUGGGAUGCGGACGUGUGGUGCGAGGGAGAGCAGCCACUCUGGACCCUCAGCAGAAGCCACGUGCUGACAAAGGAGUUGGAGCAGCCUGGGCCCCCGCCCCCGCCUUCCGCCAGCCCAGCAUGAGCCCCCACCGCCCCUGCCACCCCCACCAGUGAGUCCCCACCGCCCCCACCAGGGAGUCCCCUCCGCCCAGGCCCCCGCCCCAGAAGAAGACAAUCUACUCUGAGAAGGUUUUCACAGAACAGUCUUACCUGCUUACUUGCCAAUUAGGAAACAAUGAAAACUUCGUAGAGUUUUAAAAAUGUGCUUUAUAAAACCACUUUCAGGGAUAAGGCCGACUGUGAAAUGAUCACUUAUUUUUAGCAAACAGGAUAUGUGAAUUCAGAAACCCAGUUCCUCCAAUCAUGAUGCCCCUACGACAGCUCUGAAUCCCUGCUUUGGAUCUGUCCGCACACGGGAUCCCCCGGGAUCACGAACUUGCACUCUCUCUGUUCUCGUCAAACAUACCAGAACCCAGCCUUGUCACUGGUGGGAUCAAGGCCACCUUCCUGAGACGGACACCUUGUCAUCAGCAAGAUGUUCAGACGGGUGAGCUCCAAGUUCUGGGGAGGUUCUCAGAACGGCAGCACCGAUGAAGACAGUGGUUUGCCCUCUCGAGGUCACUGCUCUAAGUGGGAUAAACCCCCCUUCGGUUCUAAAUGUCAGCUGCACUGCCCUGUAAUCACGCCUGGUCCCUAAAACACACGGGGGAGGACUCUGGAGACCGUUCCAGUAAGAUCAUCCCUAAUAGACUCACUACAGACGUAGUUCUUCAGAAGCUGCUUGAACAAAUCCGUUCUUUGUAUCCCUCACUGGUGUUUAUUCCUCUGUAAUAAUCGAGUGCCAAAAACAAAGCUGAAAAGGUCCAAGUUUGGGUAAGUGGGAAAUUACUACCCACUUAAGUUCAGAAAUUAACAAAUAAAUGUUUUGGGGGCACCUGGGUGGCUCAGUCGGUUAAACGUCCGACUUCGGCUCAGGUCAUGAUCUCGCGGUCCGUGAGUUCGAGCCCCGCGUCGGGCUCUGUGCUGACCGCUCAGAGCCUGGAGCCUGCUUCGGAUUCUGUGUCUCCCUCUCUCUCUGCCCCUCCCCUGUUCAUGCUCUGUCUCUCUCUGUCUCAAAAAUAAAUAAACGUUAAAAAAAAAAAAUUAAAAAAAAAA
This is a long non-coding RNA of Acinonyx jubatus (cheetah), 2590 nucleotides long. RefSeq lists it as uncharacterized. The transcript has 2 exons. NCBI's taxonomy places the organism in Eukaryota, Metazoa, Chordata, Mammalia, Carnivora, Felidae. The record is from RefSeq and is a predicted model, not a curated record.